UUACAAAUACAACAAACAGUCAACGUUGUGAAUGAUUGAGUAGCUACCAAACAUUACAAAUACAACGAACAGUCAACGUUGUUUCAAUCCUUUCUAAUAAUCUUGUUUCUCAAUCUUUCUGUCUUCUCAAUUUUUCUGUCUUCUCAAUUUUUCUGAGUUCUAUUCUAAACAAACGACGAUAACACCAACUUUGUUUCGACCUCUCAUUUCUCUAAUAAUCUUUUUCUCAAUCUUUGAUGUGUUCUCUUCUGAUGGAGUCACCACAUUCAUCACCAUGUUCUCGGAUUUCAUUUACGUCACCACAUUCAUCACCAUGUUCUCGGAUUUCAUUUACGUCACCCCCAGCGGCACCAAAACCCAAUAAGAAACGAAAGAUAGAGUUUUUACAUGAUGAGAUUCCUCACACGAUCACACUAUCGUCACCUCAUCAUACUUCCUCGCCACUGCAGAAAAGACGCUUACGGUUAAUGGAUGAAAUUAUUUAGGUUGGUGAGAUGCGAUUAGAACUGUUUCGUCUCAUCAACAACACUCAAGAAGCCAUGGAUGCUGAAAGAAAGAGGAAAAUCGCAAUCUUGAUGUCAUUUAGAUAGUAACUAACAACUUUUUAUUCAUUUCAAUUGAUUCUGUUAGGUAUGUUGUUUUAUUUCCCCAAUGUUAUUUUGAAUCCAUCCAUCUGUUACUAUUGUUGUGUCAUGAUGAGUAGCAUCAAACUCCUUCAGGUAAAGUAACUAGAAAUAGAAUGGCAUUUAGUAUGUGUGGUUAACUAUGACUUCCUAACCGUAUCUUGUUCUUUUUCCUUUUUCACUUUACAAUUUAGAAAAAAAUCCACUUAUAAUAUUUUACACAUAGGUUGUGUUGCAUUGCUCAACAAGUUUUUAUUGAAUACAUCUUUUACAAAACUUUACUCUUGGAUUAAAAUUUUAAAUAUUUAGUAACUAUUAUGUUCAAUUUCAUCAUUUCUGUCCAGGAACUUUAUAGCAGGUUUGUCCAUAUGACAUUUGUUAUGUCAUGUGGCGUGUUGCUAAUAAUGCUACAAUGCAUAUUGAGGCUUCUUAAAAUUCCAGGUUAAACUUUAUUAGUACAAAAACAGCGCAGUCUUAGUAGCACUGUUGCCAUUACGAAGAAUGAAAUCUAAUACCUUUAUGUAACUUUUUAUACAUAAGCACUUAAAAAAGACAAACUUUUUGGUAAAUAGGUUGUGAGAUGAAAAUUUGAUCUUAACUUAUCUAUGCAGGUUCUAGGUUGCUCAAUGUGAUUUGCUGAUUUUUUAUUUGUGGCAAGAAAUUGGGCUAAAGAUGAACAAACACGGAAGUUCUUAAGAGGUCAGCGGAAGACUUCUGCUUUUGCUUCUCCCAGAGUGACAGGGAAUUCUGGUGGAUCAGCCGAUGGGUUUUAAGAGUGAAAAAAACCAGAGAGUUUUAAGAGUGGAAAAAAAUGCAGAAUGAAUCACUCUAAGGAUUGCAGGGCUGUUAGUUCAUGUUUCGGAAAUUGGAGGUUUGCAAAUAUUUGUGGCUAACUAUGAAAGAAUACUCAUGGAGUGCUGACUGGAUUUGUACAGAAGAGUCUGUACUGAAUCCAAGAGGAGGGUAAUGGUGUUUCACUGUUAAAGGAGGAUUGAUGUGCAAUGAUGCUUCACUGUUGAAGUGUGGAAUGAUUGAUGACUGCUUAAAGAAGACUUGUCAAUUAUAUGAUUCAAUGAAGAAUGAAGGUUUUGAAGUCGUUUGUAUGAAUGAAGAGUGAUAAGGAAACUGAGAAAAAAAACCAGAGAGUUUUAAGAGUGAAAAAAAAUGCAGAAUGAAUCACUCUAAGGAUUGCAGGGCUGUUAGUUCAUGUUUCGGAAAUUGGAGGUUUGCAAAUAUUUGUGGCUAACUAUGAAAGAAUACUCAUGGAGUGCUGACUGGAUUUGUAAUGUGUACCUGCUUUUUCAUGCAUGUUGAUGUAUGGGAGCUUUUACUUGCUACAGGUCUAUUGCACAAUCCAAUUGGAAUUGGUUCUGGUUGUUAGUUUUACUUGAUUGUCAGAGUCUUUGCAGGCAGGUAGCACAACCUUGGUAUGCUCACAUCAUGAAUAUAUCAAAAUCAGUCUUAAAGUCAUUACAGAUAUGGAGAGCCAACAGUUGAGGUCACAAAUGAAGGCGUUGAUGUUGCAGGGCAUGCAGUUGGUUCAUCUUCGGAGUGUGAUCAAACCUGCAGCACUGGGAAAAGCCUCUGCCCAAGCAAGCUUAUGGUUAAUCUUUCUCAAUUAUUAUCAUUGGAUUGUGCAUUGUUGGUUUUAUUGUUUUAUUUCCCAACAUUAUUUUGAAUCCAUUAUUAACUUGAUCGUUGGAGACAUUGUAGGUACCACACCCUUGCUAUGAAUAUGUACAAUUUUAAUAAAAAUGUGAAGCCUUUUUUUUAUUUGAACAUUUCUUCACUCGUCUUAAUGACUUUUUGUUGGCUUUCUUGUAGUGAGCUUAUUUACUUUUCAAUGCUUACAUUGAUAAUGUUUUGUGGAUUUUGUAGGAGGAUAACUUGGAAGAGUUUGGUGAAUUGUAAAAUAAUAGAGUUGAUACCUAUUAUGUCGUUGUACUUACUGUUAAAUUGUUUGUUCCGCACAUAUCUUUCGCACAUAUCUUUCAUGUGUCUGUUUAUGUUCUAUAGAAUGCAUACAUGCUAAUGUUGAUGUUUUGAUAUUGUUUCUAUUUCAAUUAUUCCUUCAUGAAUGAUCGUUUGAUUAUUUAUGAGUUUAGCUUUAGAUUAUUUCUUCCAUUGUUUGAUUUUGAAUAGGGUUUGUAUUUUAAUUGUUGGAAGCUGUUGUAUUGCUUUAGAUUAUUUCUUCCAUUGUUUGAUUUUGAAUAGGGUUUGUAUUUUAAUUGUUGGAAGCUGUUGUAUUAAUCAAUGAAUGAUGUGAAUCUAAAUUCUAAUAUAACAAUCUGAUUUAGUUCAAUCUCCUAAGCUUUCUUUAUUUUAUUAACAGAAAACAACUAACUACACUUGUUUGCAUUUUCCAGGAGUAACUAGAAAUAAAUGCAAAUAUUUAAUGGUGAAGGAUAAUACUAACAUUAUGAAUUUUGUUUCAGGCCCUGCCAAGGGAGCAAGUGUAUGUGACAUUUUUCGUAUUGAGUUUCAUGCACUUCAUUAGAUAAAAUGAACUUGUUCUUUGUCUAAUUUAAGUAUUUCUUCCAUAUUGCCUUAAGUUUUCUUCAAUGCAAUGAUUAAAUGAACUUGUUCAAUGUCUAAUUUCAGUAUUACUUCCAUAUUGCCUUACUCACUUGUUCAGGUCAUUUUUGCUGAUUUUAUAGUAAUCUGUGAUCGAUUCCAUGAGAUAUCGAAAGUGAUGCAAAUCACCUUUGAUUUGGAAGCAUAAUCCGGUCUCCAUCCCAACUAUUCUUCGUAUUGAGUUUCAUGCACUUCAUUAGAUUAAAUCACAUACAUUUGUGAUUCUAGUAGAUGGAAAGUGUAUUCAAUUUGUUAAUUGCUCUGAAGCAUCCUCCACACCUCUUAUCAACGGCAUGUCCGGUGUCCGACACCGACCCAAAUCUACAUUCAAUUUAUUCAUUUUUUUCAAAUUAUUACUGGUGUCGACGUGUCCUGCGUCCGUAUUCUAUAUGUUAAUUGUAUUAUAUAGAGAUUUUAAGUGCCUUGUCCGGGUUAUUAUUAUCCAUAUGUAGUAACCGUGUCUUUAAUAGAUAUUGAUGCACAUCAAUUUGAAAAGUUGCAAAUUGUUUUUAACUCAUUUCAGAUCCAGUAAUCUCCAAUGCCCUUGGUGGAAUUCUUGUUGGUUUAGUUACUAGCCAUGAUGGCGGUGUUGAAAACGUAACGUUUAUUGUAGGAAACAGAUUUUUUGCAGUUACUGAAUAUGAUUCCGUUUUGUAUGACUUCCAUAUCAUAUUUUCUGAUUUGUACAAAUUUGCUUUAGUGGUUUUUCUUCAAUGAAGCUACAGCAUGGCUACAGUUCAUUUAAAAUUAGCCAUCUUCUUCUUGUGUCGUCUAUAAGAAAAAUUGCACGGUUGACUUAAUAUAUCCUUGUUAUGGUUUUAUGGACAAUCUUUCUCAAUUAUUAUUAUUUGAUUGUGCAAUUGUGAAGUUGUUAUGAUAUGCCUGUGAUUAGUAUGUUCUUUUAUUUACCAAAAUUAUUUUGAAUUCAUAACUAACUUGAUCGUCGGAGUUUUUGCAGGUACCACAUCUUUGGUAAGUCAUGCUAUGCUCAUGAGUAUGAUGAAACAAAAAGGAAAUGCAACAUCUUAAAAGCAUGGUAGGAAGUUUACCUUUGAUUUGAGCUGCUGGCCAUGCUUAACAGUCCGGUCUUCAACCGAGCUGAGUGAAUGAGAUUCAUUGACAUGGGGGGCCUUCUGAAACAUUAGAAAUGGGCAGAGGCUGAAAACUUUGGGUGUCAGGCUGUGUUUGAAGUGGGGAGUCAUGCCUCAAAUAUAAAUUCUGGUGUCCCUAGUGAAAGUUGAAGCUAAAACAUUGGAAAUUUGAGUUGUUCUUCAUAAUGCCUAUUAAGCUCACGAGAUCUUGCGAAAGAAAUGGGAGAAGGAAGGUAUAUAUGCUCUUGUCAUGAAUAGAUCAAAAUGAGUCUUGUGGUCAUUUAAGGGAGAGCAGCAAUUGAGGUUACAAAUGAAGGUGUUGAUGCUGCAGGGCAUACAAUUGGUACAUUUUUGAAGGUCAUUUCCAACUUAGGAAGGUUCUCAAUCCCAAGAGUACCACACCUUUAGCUAGUGAUGCUGGUUUCUUUUGCUGUGAUCAUGUCAGACUUGAGGCCCUUAGAGGUAAUGUUCUUAUGUUUGCCUAUUUUAAUUUGGUUUGAUUUGUUUGUGCUCAACAGAUUAUUCAGGUUCAUUCGUUGAUUUCGUUUAUUAAUAUGUACAAGUUUUAUAAAAACGUGAAGCCUUUUCUUGACUUGAACAUUUUUUCAGAUAUUAUUCAGGUUUUUUUUGAACUAUGCAAUGAUUAAAUGAACUUGUUCUUUGUCUAAAUUCAAUAUUUCUUCCAUAUUAAAUCUGGCGGCCUUACUUCACUUGUUCAAUUUAUUUUUUCUUAAUUUAUAAUAAUUUGUGACCUUUUCCAUGAGAUAUAGAAAGUGAUGCAGGGAACCUUUGAUUUGGAAGCAUAAUUCGGUAUGCACCCCAACUAUUUUUCAUAUAGAGUUUCAUGCAUUACAUUAGAUUAAGUCACAUAAAUUUGUUAAUUAAUCUAUAGAACCUACACCUCCGAUCAAAGGCGUGUCCAAUGUCAGACACGUGUUGGUUUCUGUUUCUGACACUGACUUACCACAUUCAAAUUAUUUAUCUUUUAAAAUUAAUACUGGUGUUGACGUGUCAUUCUCGUGUCCCAUGCUCGUAUUGUAUAAAGAAGUUUGAAAUCCAUAGUAUGAAAUUUCCAGUGCCUUGUUCUGGUCAUUGUUAUCCAUAUGUGGUAAAUGUGUCUUUAAUAGAUAUUUAUGUACAUCAACAUGAAAAUUUGCAUAUUGUUUAUAAUUCAUUUCAGAUCCUAGUAAUUUCCUACUAUGACUAUCAAAAUCUUUUUAUUUGGACUUUAGAUAAAAAGUCAUCCUGCAUAUGUUAUGAUUUUUACAAAUUUGCUGAAGUGGUUUUCCUUCAAUUCUGGUUGCAGGGAUUUGUCAUCGUCUCAGUUUUAUUCGAUACAACAUCUUGCCCUCAUACACCUUCACAAAAUGGGGUAGCCGGACGUAAAAAUAUGCAUCUUGUAGAAACCGCUUGGACCUUACUUCUCUAUGGUAAUGUUCCAUUCUGGUUCUGGGGGAUAUUAUGCUAAUAUGGCAUGUUACCUUAUAAACCUCAUGCCCUCGUCUGUCCUUAACAACAAUAUCCCUCAUUUAAUUUUGUUGUUUCCUUAUUCCCCCUUCACCCAAUUCCUCCUCGUGUCUUCGAGUCUACAAUAUUUGUUAAAGUAAAUGCUCGUGACGGUGACGGUACGGUGAUCACCCAUGGUUCUCUUUCUCUCUCUUCCAGGAAAGUAUGUACGCUCUUGUCAUGAAUAGAUCAAAAUGAGUCUUGAGGUCAUUACAGGGAGAGCCAGCCGUUGAGGUUACAAAUGAAGGUGUUGAUGCUGCAGGGCAUACAAUUGAUACAUCUUUGGAGGUCAUGUUCAAACUUAGGAAGGUUCUCAACCCCAAGAGUGUGAUCAAACCAACAUCACUAGCUAAAGAUUAUUUUGAAUCCACAACUAACUAGAUCGUCCGAUGCUUUGUAGGUACCACACUUUGCUAUGACCAUGUCAGUCUUGAGGUCCUUAGAGGUUCUAGGUUGCUCAAUGUGAUUUGCUGAUUUUUUAUUUGUGGCAAGAAAUUGGGCUAAAGAUGAACAAACACGGAAGUGCUUAAGAGGUCAGCGGAAGACUUCUGCUUUUGCUUCUCCCAGAGUGACAGGGAAUUCUGGUGGAUCAGCCGAUGGGUUUUAAGAGUGAAAAAAACCAGAGAGUUUUAAGAGUGGAAAAAAAUGCAGAAUGAAUCACUCUAAGGAUUGCAGGGCUGUUAGUGCAUGUUUCGGAAAUUGGAGGUUUGCAAAUAUUUGUGGCUAACUAUGAAAGAAUACUCAUGGAGUGCUGACUGGAUUUGUACAGAAGAGUUUUAGGUUUUGAGUGUAGAAGCAAUGUGUACCUGCUUUUUCAUGCAUGUUGAUGUAUGGGAGCUUUUACUUGCUACAGGUGAAUUAGAGUUUUAGGGCCUAAGUAAGUUGUCACUUAACAAUCCCUGAGAGUGAGAAGGCUCUACACGAGUUUUACGGAUAUGCCUUGCAUCCUAUUGUAUUAUGUAUAGACACUAGGUUUUAUUCACCAUCUCAUCGAUGUACCCGGUUCUAUAGAGUAGCUUAGUUUUGCAGUAGUACAUUAGUUGCACUUAUAUUAACUGCACUGACCGAUAUGGGUUUUUUUGU
This is a long non-coding RNA of Lathyrus oleraceus (garden pea), 6877 nucleotides long. RefSeq lists it as uncharacterized. The record is from RefSeq and is a predicted model, not a curated record. NCBI's taxonomy places the organism in Eukaryota, Viridiplantae, Streptophyta, Magnoliopsida, Fabales, Fabaceae. The transcript has 14 exons.